This 489-nucleotide ribosomal RNA is filed under the name Metarhizium anisopliae. RNAcentral describes it as "eukaryotic LSU rRNA". The stretch from base 97 to 250 matches the Rfam family "5.8S ribosomal RNA". Lineage: Eukaryota; Fungi; Ascomycota; Sordariomycetes; Hypocreales; Clavicipitaceae. The record is from RNAcentral.
AUUGUUGCUUCGGCGGGACUUCGCGCCCGCCGGGGACCCAAACCUUCUGAAUUUUUUAAUAAGUAUCUUCUGAGUGGUUAAAAAAAAAUGAAUCAAAACUUUCAACAACGGAUCUCUUGGUUCUGGCAUCGAUGAAGAACGCAGCGAAAUGCGAUAAGUAAUGUGAAUUGCAGAAUUCAGUGAAUCAUCGAAUCUUUGAACGCACAUUGCGCCCGUCAGUAUUCUGGCGGGCAUGCCUGUUCGAGCGUCAUUACGCCCCUCAAGUCCCCUGUGGACUUGGUGUUGGGGAUCGGCGAGGCUGGUUUUCCAGCACAGCCGUCCCUUAAAUUAAUUGGCGGUCUCGCCGUGGCCCUCCUCUGCGCAGUAGUAAAACACUCGCAACAGGAGCCCGGCGCGGUCCACUGCCGUAAAACCCCCCAACUUUUUAUAGUUGACCUCGAAUCAGGUAGGACUACCCGCUGAACUUAAGCAUAUCAUUAAGCCGGAGGA